RNAcentral lists this transfer RNA (84 nucleotides) under Bacteroidota bacterium. Its description in RNAcentral is "tRNA-Leu". It matches the Rfam family "tRNA". Rfam says of the family: Transfer RNA (tRNA) molecules are approximately 80 nucleotides in length. Lineage: Bacteria; Pseudomonadati; Bacteroidota. The record is from RNAcentral.
GCCGGGAUGGCGGAAUUGGUAGACGCAACGGACUUAAAAUCCGUUGGCCGAAGGGCCGUGCGGGUUCGAGUCCCGCUCCCGGUA